AGGCUUGAAUGCUGAAUGGGUGUGAAGAAGCCGAGGUGGGUGAGGAACCGAACCUGCGAGGCUUGAAUGCUGAAUGGCACAUGAAGAAGCCGAGGUGGGUGAGGAACCGAACCUGCGAGGCUUGAAGGUUGAAUAGGUGUGAAGAUGCCGAGGUCCAAUGGUAAUGAUUAUGCUUUGGUCUCUGUGCCAAUGAUUUGAUGUUUUGUGCUUGUUUUCGAGGAAAGGUAGCUAAACCGUUACGACUUCCAAGGCGCUGGCGCCGACGAAUUAAAAAUGCAAUUAUGAGCGCAGCUGGCGUUUCUAGAAGCAGACGCGUUGGAGAGGUGCGUGUGAGGUACGCAUAGAUAGGAGGCGUAGGAUUUCAAAAACUGUUUGAAUUCAACGCCUCGGAUUGGAUCUGAAAUGGAGGGCUCAGAUUGACUGAGAUUUGAUCUGA
Molecule: long non-coding RNA, 436 nt
Filed under: Olea europaea (common olive)
Lineage: Eukaryota; Viridiplantae; Streptophyta; Magnoliopsida; Lamiales; Oleaceae
Description: long non-coding RNA (OEUR_LNC010325)
Source: RNAcentral